UUCGUAUUUUAUUGAAAAAUUCUUUUCAAAAACUUGUUGAUCUCUAUCCUUCUUACUUACCCAAUUUCCAGAUUGAUUAUCGUU
Molecule: transfer RNA, 84 nt
Filed under: Toxicopueraria yunnanensis
Lineage: Eukaryota; Viridiplantae; Streptophyta; Magnoliopsida; Fabales; Fabaceae
Description: tRNA-Tyr
Source: RNAcentral